Non-coding RNA from Vicugna pacos (alpaca), 1528 nucleotides. The record is from RefSeq and is a predicted model, not a curated record. Lineage: Eukaryota; Metazoa; Chordata; Mammalia; Artiodactyla; Camelidae.
GUCGCAAAUUCAAUUUUUGCUUUUUGGAACUUUCUGGCAGUUUUUUCUGGAAUAUUUUCGAUCUGGUUGCAUGAAUCCUUGGGGAACUCGUGGAUACAGAUGGUCAGCUGUAUGUGUUUUAAGAAUGAUAGUCUCACAGGUGGAUGAACUCAAACUGUUCUGUUAUAAAAUGACAAUUUAGCCACUGUGCAUUUUCCUGCAGAAAUAAAUACUAAAAUUUGAUGCCUUGACCCCUUUCCAUGUUGACUUAGAGUUUGGCAGCUGGAGGGAGGCAGAUUGAAUAAAAGACACUGGGAUAGAUGGGACAGGUUGAAUUACCUUCUCUUUCGGAAUUUCGACUUUAAGGGACUCUGUCAAAUAAAUACGACCAUUUGGCAACAUAAAUUCAAUUUAGUUUUCUAGGAAUAUUGACCUAACUGAAUUUCUCUGAUUCCUAGAUAGUGGUUUUUUAAAAAGCAUUUUCCUUGUGCUGGAUUUUGACAGUUUUAAAAUCACGACAAAUCGCAGCUGCAGCCUAAAGUUUUACCUCAAUACUAAUGCUGCUAAUAUGUUGCUCAGCUCACAUCAGGGUGAGAAAGGGCAGAGGAGGCAAUUCUGUGAAAGUCUGAUUUCAACCAGUUGGUUUAUUAUCUUGCUGGAAGUUUCGAAAUAUUUACUGUGUUUUUUGGAAACCCAGGUGAUGUAAAAUUCUCAUUGUGUCCUGAUGUAGUUCAGUGUGUUUUCCAGGCUCAGAAUCGCCCUCCCGACAGCCGGCGCUCCAGCCUCCGUCCAGGUACUUGUGCAGAGGGUCUAGUUUCUAACGGGAGCUGAAAGGUUAGCAGCCCAGAGCCCCUCACGUUUGACAGGAUCCAAACUGCUGGAUACAGGUGCACCGGCUGGAACACGGGGAUGGAGGGAUUCUCAACCUUGACGACAUCCUGUGUGACGUGGCCGACGACAAAGACAGAACACCUGAGUGGGCAGGUAACAUUCUGGAAACAGUCCUCAUGAAUAUUCAUGAAGGACAUCUGGCGGCAAAACGCAGAGGAGAAAAAUAACAAUAAAAACCAAGUAAGCUGAGAAUCAAUAAUGUAUACUUUGUAUUAUUAAAGCGAUUUUUUAUGAUUUUGAGCUUCUGUUCAAAUCUAAUUUCAUGUUUUCUGAGAAAAAUACUUAACCAUAAUAACAGCUGGCUUCAUUACAUUAAGUGCAAAUACUAUUUGUUUGUAUGUUAACUUGGCAUUAGUAUCUGCACUAGGUAGAAGAAUUUUAAGUUAUAUUUGAAGAAAUCCAUUAAAACCAAUACCAUCAAUAUAUUGGCAUUUGUGGUGAGGCUUUCAGAGCGGUGAGCCUCACCUGACCUGUGAGGUUGAUACCCCUGGACAGAGAAGUGUUUUGUUUUGUGAAUCAGAUUAUUCUCCUUGGGGUACUGUGUUAAAGUCAAAGCUUGAGUUCCACAUUCACAUCCUGUUAGUGGUGUUUUUAGUUUAAGCUUGUGGCUUAAUUAAGCUCUCAGUAUUUCCACUAGACUCUUCAGUGCCAGUGCUGG